RNAcentral lists this ribosomal RNA (316 nucleotides) under uncultured eukaryote. Its description in RNAcentral is "partial 18S ribosomal RNA". It matches the Rfam family "Eukaryotic small subunit ribosomal RNA", at positions 1470 to 1796 of the family's 1831-position model. The record is from RNAcentral.
CCCCUAGAUGUUCUGGGCCGCACGCGCGCUACACUGAACAGUUCAACAAGUCUUAACCUUGGCCGAUAGGUCUGGGUAAUCUUUGAACGCUGUUCGUGAUUGGGAUAGACCUUUGCAAUUAUUAAUCUUCAACGAGGAAUUCCUAGUAAACGCAAGUCAUCAGCUUGCAUUGAUUACGUCCCUGCCCUUUGUACACACCGCCCGUCGCACCUACCGAUUGAAUGGUCCGGUGAAAUCCUCGGAUCGAGCCGUGGGGCAACUCCGGUUCGAGAAGUUGAUUAAACCUUACCAUUUAGAGGAAGGUGAAGUCGUAACA